Molecule: long non-coding RNA, 433 nt
Filed under: Solanum tuberosum (potato)
Lineage: Eukaryota; Viridiplantae; Streptophyta; Magnoliopsida; Solanales; Solanaceae
Description: long non-coding RNA (STUB_LNC001879)
Source: RNAcentral
GUCUAAAACGGGAUUGUGGGGCCCACAAUUGGAAUCUCGAAAACGAAUCCUUGGAAACGUCCCAAAUACCUUACUAAACUAAUAUCCCAAAAAUUUAGCACAACCAGAUGCCUAAAACAUAGCAAAUCAGCCACAACAAUUAAAAUGGGCAGUCCCUUGAUCACCAAUUUCUGGAAAAACGAGACCCUUUCAACCCAAACAGAUUAUACCACGACGAUCCUUGCGAAAAACUCUACAAGUUAGCCACAAGAAUGACUCAAAACGGACCUAAGAUGAUCAAGAUCUCACAUUUCAAAAAUUCAACAACAAUUCAAUCCGGAAAUCACCCUGGCAGUGGCUAAAAUCGAUUCCUUACCUCAAACGAAGCCUCCCCUCGCGUUUUUGAGAUCACCGCUAGAUUCCCCACGAAAUUCUCUUGAAGUUAGCCUUUUGA